RNAcentral lists this ribosomal RNA (542 nucleotides) under uncultured bacterium. RNAcentral describes it as "bacterial LSU rRNA". It matches the Rfam family "Bacterial large subunit ribosomal RNA", at positions 1870 to 2410 of the family's 2925-position model. The record is from RNAcentral.
UGGAAGGUUAAGGGGAUGUGUCAGCGCAAGCGAAGCACUGAACCGAAGCCCCAGUAAACGGCGGCCGUAACAAUAACGGUCCUAAGGUAGCGAAAUUCCUUGUCGGGUAAGUUCCGACCUGCACGAAUGGCAUAACGACAUCCCCGCUGUCUCGACCACGGACUCAGCGAAAUUGUAUUGGGGGUGAAGAUACCCUCUACCCGCGGCAAGACGGAAAGACCCCAUGAACCUUCACUGCAACUUGACAGUGAUUUUCGGGAUAUUCUGCGUAGGAUAGGUGGGAGGCUGUGAGACUGGGCUUCUGGGCUCAGUGGAGCCAACGUUGAAAUACCACCCUGAAUGUUCUGGGAAUCUAACCUGGGCGAGUGAACCCUCGCCGGGGACACUGUCUGGUGGGCAGUUUGACUGGGGCGGUCGCCUCCCAAAACGUAACGGAGGCGUGCGAAGGUUCCCUCAGGCCGAUUGGAAACCGGCCGUAGAGUGCAAACGCACAAGGGAGCUUAACUGCGAGACCGACAGGUCGAGCAGGUGCGAAAGCAGGC